This 484-nucleotide ribosomal RNA is filed under the name uncultured bacterium. Its description in RNAcentral is "partial 16S ribosomal RNA". It matches the Rfam family "Bacterial small subunit ribosomal RNA", at positions 30 to 507 of the family's 1533-position model. The record is from RNAcentral.
AUUGAACGCUGGCGGCAGGCCUAACACAUGCAAGUCGAGCGGAUGAAGGGAGCUUGCUCCUGGAUUCAGCGGCGGACGGGUGAGUAAUGCCUAGGAAUCUGCCUGGUAGUGGGGGAUAACGUCCGGAAACGGGCGCUAAUACCGCAUACGUCCUGAGGGAGAAAGUGGGGGAUCUUCGGACCUCACGCUAUCAGAUGAGCCUAGGUCGGAUUAGCUAGUUGGUGGGGUAAAGGCCUACCAAGGCGACGAUCCGUAACUGGUCUGAGAGGAUGAUCAGUCACACUGGAACUGAGACACGGUCCAGACUCCUACGGGAGGCAGCAGUGGGGAAUAUUGGACAAUGGGCGAACGCCUGAUCCAGCCAUGCCGCGUGUGUGAAGAAGGUCUUCGGAUUGUAAAGCACUUUAAGUUGGGAGGAAGGGCAGUAAGUUAAUACCUUGCUGUUUUGACGUUACCAACAGGAUAAGCACCGGCUAACUUCGUG